GUGGUCUACGAAGACGCUGACCUGGAGUCAAGGGAGGUCCAAGGAAAGCCCUCCAGCGUCUGAGGGGAGUCGAGAGUCCACCUCGGUGGACAGAGUCCCGCUCAGGAGAAGCCUCGGCCUGGAGACUUUCCCCAACGUCCUGCUGUUCAGAACCUGCGUGCCGUGUGCAGAACAAGGUUUCCGUCCCGCAGCAGCCUUGUUGGAGAGUCCCAGCCCGGUUGGCAAAGAGACCUGUGAGACCCCACGAAGACCAGCAAGAGAUCUCUGUUUGGGUAAUUUCCUGAGGUUCACCAGUGGACAGGAUGCAGGCCCUUCUCCCGUCACUGGUGUUGCAAAACGUCAGCUCACACCUUGGAGGAGACGCAUUUCACUAUAAUUAUUUUUUUUAAUAAGUAAUAAGUUGACAUUACUGCAGCUUGUCAGCUUAUGGCAUCCGCUGGAUCCGUUUCUAUUUAUUUGGUAUCUCUAAACUGUUCCGUGUGUUUUAUAUUUUUAACAUUUUAGAAACUGCAUGUAUACGUUUUUCCUUUAUUAAUAUUUCACACAGAUGACCUUUGACCAAAAUGUAAUAUCAAGUGAA
This is a long non-coding RNA of Pungitius pungitius (ninespine stickleback), 580 nucleotides long. RefSeq lists it as uncharacterized. The transcript is spliced from 3 exons. NCBI's taxonomy places the organism in Eukaryota, Metazoa, Chordata, Actinopteri, Perciformes, Gasterosteidae. The record is from RefSeq and is a predicted model, not a curated record.